UACGGGGGGGGCAAGCGUUGUUCGGAAUUACUGGGCGUAAAGGGCUCGUAGGCGGCCAACUAAGUCAGACGUGAAAUCCCUCGGCUUAACCGGGGAACUGCGUCUGAUACUGGAUGGCUUGAGUCCGGGAGAGGGAUGCGGAAUUCCAGGUGUAGCGGUGAAAUGCGUAGAUAUCUGGAGGAACACCGGUGGCGAAGGCGGCAUCCUGGACAAUUGCUGACGCUCAGGCACGAAAGCGUGGGGAGCAAACGGG
This 253-nucleotide ribosomal RNA is filed under the name uncultured bacterium. RNAcentral describes it as "partial 16S ribosomal RNA". It matches the Rfam family "Bacterial small subunit ribosomal RNA", at positions 524 to 776 of the family's 1533-position model. The record is from RNAcentral.